Molecule: small RNA, 74 nt
Organism: Trichomalopsis sarcophagae
Lineage: Eukaryota; Metazoa; Arthropoda; Insecta; Hymenoptera; Pteromalidae
Rfam family: bZIP non canonical Hac1/Xbp1 intron
About the family: bZIP intron RNA is a non-canonical intron that was first reported in HAC1 gene in yeast and XBP1 gene in Metazoa.
Source: Rfam
GGCUGUACUGUACCAGCGCUGGGAUCAGCAGUAUCCCCCUUAAACCCUCUGCAGCAGGGUGGCACAGUACAGAC